UACGUAGGGGGCAAGCGUUGUCCGGAAUCAUUGGCCGUAAAGAGCGUGUAGGCGGUUCGGUAAGUCGGCUGUGAAAGUCCAGGGCUCAACCCUGGGAUGCCGGUCGAUACUGCCGGACUAGAGUUCGGAAGAGGCGAGUGGAAUUCCCGGUGUAGCGGUGAAAUGCGCAGAUAUCGGGAGGAACACCUAUGGCGAAGGCAGCUCGCUGGGACGUUACUGACGCUGAGACGCGAAAGCGUGGGGAGCAAACAGG
This 253-nucleotide ribosomal RNA is filed under the name uncultured bacterium. Its description in RNAcentral is "partial 16S ribosomal RNA". It matches the Rfam family "Bacterial small subunit ribosomal RNA", at positions 524 to 776 of the family's 1533-position model. The record is from RNAcentral.